Lolium rigidum is the source of this 3119-nucleotide long non-coding RNA. RefSeq lists it as uncharacterized. NCBI's taxonomy places the organism in Eukaryota, Viridiplantae, Streptophyta, Magnoliopsida, Poales, Poaceae. The record is from RefSeq and is a predicted model, not a curated record. The transcript has 10 exons.
AGAUGUACGUGCCCCCAAUCCUCCGCAUCACCGACUUGACGGGCGCGGGACCCAUGGGCGACCAACCAACAGCCAAGGCUGAAUCCGGCCGGCGCUGCAUCAGGGUGGAGCGACCACAGCGACCGCGUCGACCUCACCCGCCAUGGUAAGCAGAAGCAGAUCAAGGACGGCCUACCCACAGCUCCUCCUGCUGCAAGGCCAAGAAGAGGCCGGUCGGCGUCCGGAGAUGGCCGACGACCACGCAAAACGGCUCGUCCACUCCGACCUCGACGGCCAAGGAGGAGCUCGUCCGGUCAGAUGACGUCCACCAAUUUAAAGGGCAUUUUAUCAUGCAUAUGAAGCUCAUGACUACAGCCAUCAAAUGCCUCAGUCUGCUCCUGAAGCGGAACCUUGUGGUGGCAAUCUUCCACACAUCAAUCCCAGGGGCCUACCGAAGCUGAGAAGAAAGAGAUGGCGCCACGGUGGCUCUUGGCGACUUCUGGUGACCUUGGCCGUCUUGGAGGCUUGAUGGCAGAGCUGCAGUGAACCCGGAGGACGCCGUUGAGCACCUGACCAAGGCGAUCCAACUGAACCUCAAAAACCAUAUAUGGUACAAAGAGGUCAGUCACAAUAGCAGCAAUGCUUGGAGAGCUUCCUGAGUUCAAAAUGUUGUGACUCUUUGUAUGUGGAGCUGUCCUCCUGAGGAGUUGGAUGCAGAGUGAAUGAACUUCUCAAUCUCGACAUGUAGAUGAAGGGAAAUAGAGGAAGCCGUUGAGCACAUGACCAAGGCGUUCCUACUGAAUCUCAAGAACCAUGUAUGGUACUAAGAGUAAAUGGUCAAUGGUGGUAGACUCAAGAGCUGGAUGUGUGUGAAUUUCGCUCGAAACAUGCAAGACGGUGUUGCCACUGGAUUCUGUCACGAACUGGGUUUCAUGUGCCAAGCCUCAGGCCCCCCCUGACAUGCUUCUGAAGCCUGUUCUUCCGGCUAUAUACAUGCAUCUGGAUCAAGUGGAGCGCAAGGAUCAGUUGACUUUGCUCUGAAAGCUUUGUAACAUCAUGCGAUGACCAUACUCAGACUGCAGCGCGUGGAGCUUGAACAAUGGCUCACUUUACGGUGACCUGAAGCCUAUGCGUGAGAUUGAUCUUGGGCUUCUUUCCCAGUGCUGUUUUGCCAAGUAAGUGUUUCAGGUGAACAAGUAGAUCAUGGCAAGCCUUGCUCUGAAGAUAAAUGUCAAGGCCGAUGCAGUGUUCUAUUCUAAGUUGCAUCCCUGGAUAGGCCUGCGAUAAUAUUCGGCGCCAAUGCCUCAUCCCCAUCCCCAUCCCCAUCCCCAUCCCCAUCGUGGUGAAGAAAACAUCCCUGCCAUCGCCUGCGAUCAUCCGAGCUCUCCAAUGUUGGUUACCAUCGCCAUCCUUAGUACCUAAUUUCUCGGACUCCAUGUGCAAGCUAGUUUAUCUGUUCAUUCAGUUAUCUGAAGUAUCUUCUCAGUCCGCAGCCUAGCAUAAUUGUGUAGAUUAGAUAGAUAGAAACUAUUAUAUCAAUCUAGCAGGGUUCUAGGUAUAUAGAGCCCGCAAUAACGUUGAUCCAUGCAUGGUUUUAAAGGCGUCGCUUAGGCGUCGCUUAAGCGUCCGAGCGGUCCGAGACUGGAAGGCGUUGUCGUCGGCUUUGACUUGAGCGUAAGGCGUCCAAAGGCGUCGCAGAAGCGUCCCAAUUCAUCGCCUAAGCGUGAAAUCACUGCCUUUCAUCGCUUCUGGACGCCUCUGUCCUUGCGCGGGAAACACUGCGCUGGCGGGAGGGAAAACCCAAAUUGGCGGGCUGGAAGUGGAAUUGGGGGCCAGGGAUAGUGGAAAUAGAGAGAAGAGAGAGAGAGGGGGAACAGACCAGGUGAACCGAUUGGGAGAGAAGGGAGAGAGGAGGGAGCUCCUCUCACGCGACCACCCCAGCUCCGGCCAGAUUCGCUCCUGCUCCGCCAUCUGCCGGCCUCUCCAACUCCAGCCAAGCUUCUGGGUCCUCCUCCCCCUGGUGCAGCCCUUUCCAGAGGGGAAACAAGGUGCAGCACUGCAGCCUCCUCAUCCUACCUAGUUGCUGCUUUGUUUCCAGCAAGGCAGCCUCAAAGGCGUCGCCUUGCAACACGCCUUGAGCGCUUAGGCGUUGAGGCGCCCCCCAUCUCCUUGGGUCGCCUUUAAAACCAUGGAUCCAGGGUCGCUUUUGUUUCUCCUCUCCAGGAACUGAAAGAACUCAACCCAACGAUGUCAAUUCUGCAUGUGGAGAUUGAAACUGGUUUACAUCUAUGUUGUCUGUGAUGGCACAGAAUAGAACAAAUCUAUUUGAGCUCUUCAGUGUUAUUGUUGUGCUGGCAGCAUGUGUGAUUAAUAAGCUGUUUUAUCAGCUUUGUGUACAUGUUGUAGUGGUGUACUUAAUAAUUAGUAAUUGAAGCAGCAACACUCAACCAAAUGGCUUGAUUUUUCUCUUAAUUGCCUUUCCUCCCUAUUUCUGUACAAGUAGCCAAAUGGCUUGACUUUUCUCUUAAUUGUCUAGAUUUCUCUUUUGUAGGUGUCUUCUCUAUGCAGCACUCAACUCGAGUAAAGUUUUUUGGGCCUAACAAUGUUCUCUCCAUUGAAUUUCAGGGCGCUACCUGAAAUUGUACUUCUUGGUUUUGAUUUGCAGCAGGAAGAGAAGGCUUCUACUAAGUAAUAGGUGUGUGUUGACGCAUCGGCUGUAUUCUUUUUUGCAGGACAUUUACUCCCUCGGACUCAGGCGCAUCAAAGAUGAGGCCUUGGCUUGGUGCGGUAUUGUCUCACUAUGAUUCGGCCCGCCAUAUUGUUUUGGUGCUGAUGAUAUUCUUGGACAUUGUUCCUCUUUCCAUCAAGUUUUGGUGGCGAGCAUUCUCUAGAGAAGAUCUGCUGCUCUAGCUACUCAGGUCGCUGCUAAUGAAAUUGGUGCAAUACACACUUUCCCAUAUCAAGUGAGGCAGAUGAUCUUCCCUGGAAAGCAUGCAGGGGGGUAUCCACAUUGUCCAGUGUAACAUACGCGAGAGGUGGCUGAGUGUGUUAAAUCCUUAUUAGCAUCUGCAACCUUUGUUACUCAAUGAAUAAUUAUUAAUUCUUAUGAGUUAGUAGCGGGAGCUCAUGCAUGCUUCAAA